UACGGGGGGAGCAAGCGUUGUUCGGAUUUACUGGGCGUAAAGGGCGCGUAGGCGGCCUGUGCAAGUCAGUUGUGAAAUCUCCGGGCUUAACUCGGAAAGGUCAACUGAUACUGCUCGGCUAGAGUGCGGAAGGGGCAACUGGAAUUCUCGGUGUAGCGGUGAAAUGCGUAGAUAUCGAGAGGAACACCUGCGGCGAAGGCGGGUUGCUGGGCUGACACUGACGCUGAAGCGCGAAAGCUAGGGGAGCGAACGGG
Molecule: ribosomal RNA, 254 nt
Filed under: uncultured bacterium
Lineage: Bacteria
Description: partial 16S ribosomal RNA
Rfam family: Bacterial small subunit ribosomal RNA
Source: RNAcentral